GCAUUUGUUAUUUCGACGAGAGGAACUUCACGUGUGAAGCAUCAUCAGAAAAGAAAUGAAAUGACCGCCAAGAAGUUGUCAAGGAUAACCAGACGGACAACACCUUUCUAUCUACUUGCUAUUCGCCCUGUUUCGGACACGUGUAAUAAACUGUUACUGAAGAAUGAGGGAAGACGUGAGUAGAAUGACAAAUCUAUGCCGUUUACUAUUGUGAUGCAGUCUGCCAGAGAAAGAGUUGGACCAAACAUCAAAGGAUUUGCACUUAAACUGAAAUUUAACUAGAUGUUUUCUUCAUAAACAAGGAUGUAUUGAGAAAUUUCUUGUUCCUCCAAAGCGGUCCAUUUGCUUAUGCAGAACUUGUGUACCAGUACAAGUGGCCAGCACUAUAAUAUAUGGCACAUAAAACUAAAAUCACGAAUA
Daphnia carinata is the source of this 420-nucleotide long non-coding RNA. RefSeq lists it as uncharacterized. The transcript is spliced from 3 exons. NCBI's taxonomy places the organism in Eukaryota, Metazoa, Arthropoda, Branchiopoda, Diplostraca, Daphniidae. The record is from RefSeq and is a predicted model, not a curated record.